Molecule: ribosomal RNA, 256 nt
Filed under: uncultured bacterium
Lineage: Bacteria
Description: partial 16S ribosomal RNA
Rfam family: Bacterial small subunit ribosomal RNA
Source: RNAcentral
UACGGAGGGUGCGAGCGUUGUCCGGAAUCAUUGGGCGUAAAGGGCGCGUAGGUGGCCCGGUCAGUCUUUGGUGAAAGCGCGGGGCUCAACCCUGCGUCGGCCAGGGAUACUGCCGCGGCUCGAGCACUGUAGAGGCAGGCGGAAUUCCGGGUGUAGCGGUGGAAUGCGUAGAGAUCCGGAAGAACACCGGUGGCGAAGGCGGCCUGCUGGGCAGUUUAACUGACACUGAGGCGCGACAGCGUGGGGAGCAAACAGG